UUGGAGGGCAAGUCUGGUGCCAGCAGCCGCGGUAAUUCCAGCUCCAAUAGCGUAUAUUAAAGUUGUUGCAGUUAAAAAGCUCGUAGUUGAAUUUCGGGAUUGACGUGAUGGUCAUGCCUUAAGGGGUAUGAACUGUUGCAAUUGAUUUCUCACCUUCUGGAGAAACUUGAUGUCCUUUAUUGGGUGUCUUGCGGAUCCAGGACCUUUACCUUGAAAAAAUUAGAGUGUUUAAAGCAGGCAUUUUUGCUCGAAUACAUUAGCAUGGAAUAAUAGAAUAGGACGGCAUGGUUCUAUUUUGUUGGUUUCUAGGAUCACCGUAAUGAUUAAUAGGGAUAGUUGGGGGCAUUAGUAUUCAAUUGUCAGAGGUGAAAUUCUUGGAUUUAUUGAAGACUAACUACUGCGAAAGCAUUUGCCAAGGAUGUUUUCAUUAAUCAAGAACGAAAGUUAGGGGAUCGAAGACGAUCAGAUACCGUCGUAGUCUUAACCAUAAACUAUGCCGACUAGGAAUCAGACGAUGUUAAUUUUUUAAUGACUCGUUUGGCACCUUACGGGAAACCAAAGUGUUUGGGUUC
RNAcentral lists this ribosomal RNA (572 nucleotides) under uncultured Glomeromycotina. Its description in RNAcentral is "SSU rRNA". It matches the Rfam family "Eukaryotic small subunit ribosomal RNA", at positions 548 to 1114 of the family's 1831-position model. The record is from RNAcentral. Lineage: Eukaryota; Fungi; Glomeromycota.